RNAcentral lists this ribosomal RNA (465 nucleotides) under uncultured bacterium. RNAcentral describes it as "partial 16S ribosomal RNA". It matches the Rfam family "Bacterial small subunit ribosomal RNA", at positions 28 to 507 of the family's 1533-position model. The record is from RNAcentral.
GACGAACGCUGGCGGCGUGCUUAACACAUGCAAGUCGAACGGAAAGGCCCUGCUUGCAGGGUACUCGAGUGGCGAACGGGUGAGUAACACGUGGGUGAUCUGCCCUGCACUUCGGGAUAAGCCUGGGAAACUGGGUCUAAUACCGGAUAGGAGCCAUUUUUAGUGUUAUGGUUGGAAAGUUUUUUCGGUGUAGGAUGAGCUCGCGGCCUAUCAGCUUGUUUGUGGGGUAAUGGCCUACCAAGGCGGCGACGGGUAGCCGGCCUGAGAGGGUGGACGGCCACAUUGGGACUGGGAUACGGCCCAGACUCCUACGGGAGGCAGCAGUGGGGAAUAUUGCACAAUGGGCGCAAGCCUGAUGCAGCGACGCCGCGUGGGGGAUGACGGCCUUCGGGUUGUAAACUCCUUUCGCUAGGGACGAAGCUUUUUGUGACGGUACCUAGAGAAGAAGCACCGGCUAACUACGUG